AUGGGUCGAGCGGCGCAGGAGCGUGCGGUGAUGUCGUGACCGUCGCGUAGCAGGUAGGGCGCGACGGUUGAACCGGUCAAAGUCGGUUGAUUCGUA
This 96-nucleotide transfer RNA is filed under the name Burkholderia contaminans. Its description in RNAcentral is "tRNA-His". Lineage: Bacteria; Pseudomonadati; Pseudomonadota; Betaproteobacteria; Burkholderiales; Burkholderiaceae. The record is from RNAcentral.